RNAcentral lists this ribosomal RNA (473 nucleotides) under uncultured beta proteobacterium. RNAcentral's name for it is "bacterial SSU rRNA". It matches the Rfam family "Bacterial small subunit ribosomal RNA", at positions 348 to 811 of the family's 1533-position model. The record is from RNAcentral. Lineage: Bacteria; Pseudomonadati; Pseudomonadota; Betaproteobacteria.
GCAGCAGUGGGGAAUAUUGGACAAUGGGGGAAACCCUGAUCCAGCAAUGCCGCGUGAGUGAAGAAGGCCUUCGGGUUGUAAAGUUCUUUCGUGGGGGAAGAAAAGGCGCGGGYUAAUACCCUUUGCGCCCAUGACGGUACCCCAAGAAGAAGCACCGGCUAACUACGUGCCAGCAGCCGCGGUAAUACGUAGGGUGCGAGCGUUAAUCGGAAUUACUGGGCGUAAAGCGUGCGUAGGCGGCCGUUUAAGUCAGAUGUGAAAGCCCCGGGCUCAACUUGGGAAUUGCGUUUGAUACUGGACGGCUAGAGACCGAUAGAGGAAGGUGGAAUUCCGCAUGUAGUGGUGAAAUGCGUAGAUAUGCGGAAGAACACUAAUGGCGAAGGCAUCCUUCUGGGUCGGUACUGACGCUGAGGUACGAAAGCGUGGGUAGCAAACAGGAUUAGAUACCCUGGUAGUCCACGCCCUAAACGAUG